GGAGAGCCAUGGUGCAAUUUCUAAAAUUCACCAUUUCCAACUUAAUCAUUUUACUGGAAGAUUUAAUGGGCUGCCUAAUUACUAAUCGGUCUCACUCUGCACAUUAUCCAUUUUCAUGCAUAUCUCAUACACAUUGUGAAAAUAUAUAUCACAUACAUAUAUCCAUACAAUGGAAAUGUAAAAGGUAUGAUCAUGGACUAUUCUAA
RNAcentral lists this unclassified non-coding RNA (206 nucleotides) under Hevea brasiliensis (rubber tree). The record is from RNAcentral. Lineage: Eukaryota; Viridiplantae; Streptophyta; Magnoliopsida; Malpighiales; Euphorbiaceae.